UCUACGUUUCUGUGCACAAUGUCCAACAUACUCAUACUCCUUCUUCUGAUGUCUUUCAGCUCAUGUUCUGACUCUCAGAAUGUUGUGGCUCAGGAGUCUGCAGUAUCAGUUCUCCCUGGUGGAAGUGUCGGUCUUUCCUGUAGUUGGACAGGAGGCUCAGUAACUGGCAAUAACUACCCAUGCUGGGUACAUCAGACACCUGGGAGUACCCCUAAGCUUGCAGUUGGAAGUACUAGUACUGGCAAUCCAAACUAUAGACCCUCAUGGACCCCGGAACGAUUCACUGGCUCAAUCUCUGGUGGAAAAGCCAUUCUCUCUAUCAACAGAGCCCAGGCAGAGGAUGAUGGUGUAUAUUACUGUGUUCUGUGGAUUAGUAGUGCUCCCACAGUGUUACAACUUAUUGCACAACAGCGACAUUAACUUCCUAUUUUCUUUGUCAUAGAGACUUUCUGUAGAAGCCAAGAAAGAAAACUCCAGAAGUUCUAGCAGAAAGACCUGAAAAUAAUUUGGUGUGGGGGCUAUUCCAAUAUUGCCUCCUCCCGAAAAA
Molecule: non-coding RNA, 547 nt
Organism: Xenopus tropicalis (tropical clawed frog)
Lineage: Eukaryota; Metazoa; Chordata; Amphibia; Anura; Pipidae
Source: the annotation of a RefSeq genome assembly